Long non-coding RNA from Pecten maximus, 547 nucleotides. RefSeq lists it as uncharacterized. The record is from RefSeq and is a predicted model, not a curated record. The transcript is spliced from 5 exons. Lineage: Eukaryota; Metazoa; Mollusca; Bivalvia; Pectinida; Pectinidae.
UAGUGUGACAUUUCAUUACAGUUAUGAGCUUAUUAUGCAUUGAUGAGGGACGCAAUCGCGUUUAUGAUUUUUCAACAACAUGAUCUCAGGUAAGAGUCAUGUGUUAUAAAACGACAAUUUUGACAGUUUAACCAGCAAAAAUUAACAUCCAAGUUGAAGACAAGCAAGCAGACUUCAGCCACUACCAAAAAGACUUGUCAUGUUCCAGAACCCACUUUAUCAACAAGAAGCAGUGGACGUAAAAGAUGCAUGAAAUUUGUUGGAAGAAAGAUUUCACAUGCGUGGUGUCCAGCUGAAGGGUCACAGAUAAGCCGAUGGUACACUGGAAUGGUUUUAGAUUGUAUCAAGGGAAAAGAUGGUGACAGGACAGCUGUUUAUGAAGUUGCAUAUGAGGGGGAGGCAGCUUCCAGCACACUAUCAAAUUUGCAGCAAGACUUGGACAAAGGUUCCCUGAAGUUUAUAGAUAUUUAGUCAGCCAGCCACAUAUCCAGUCAGCCAGCCACAUAUCCAGUCAGUCAGCCACCUCUCCAGUAGUGUACACAGCCAC